This 137-nucleotide ribosomal RNA is filed under the name uncultured eukaryote. RNAcentral's name for it is "partial 18S ribosomal RNA". It matches the Rfam family "Eukaryotic small subunit ribosomal RNA", at positions 1299 to 1458 of the family's 1831-position model. The record is from RNAcentral.
UGGUGGAGUGAUUUGUCUGGUUAAUUCCGAUAACGAACGAGACCUUAACUUGCUAAAUAGAUUGUCAAGCUUCGGCUUGGCAAGGCUUCUUAGAAGGACUUUGUGUUUAUAAUGCAAGGAAGUUUGAGGCAACAACA